GCCUACGGGGGGCAGCAGUAGGGAAUCUUCCACAAUGGGCGAAAGCCUGAUGGAGCAACGCCGCGUGGGUGAAGAAGGUCUUCGGAUCGUAAAACCCUGUUGUUAGAGAAGAAAGUGCGUGGGAGUAACUGUUCACGUUUCGACGGUAUCUAACCAGAAAGCCACGGCUAACUACGUGCCAGCAGCCGCGGUAAUACGUAGGUGGCAAGCGUUAUCCGGAUUUAUUGGGCGUAAAGGGACCGCAGGCGGUCUUUUAAGUCUGAUGUGAAAGCCUUCGGCUUAACCGGAGUAGUGCAUUGGAAACU
RNAcentral lists this ribosomal RNA (305 nucleotides) under uncultured bacterium. Its description in RNAcentral is "bacterial SSU rRNA". It matches the Rfam family "Bacterial small subunit ribosomal RNA", at positions 337 to 634 of the family's 1533-position model. The record is from RNAcentral.